AUUGAACGCUGGCGGCAGGCUUAACACAUGCAAGUCGAGCGGGGGAAGGUAGCUUGCUACCGGACCUAGCGGCGGACGGGUGAGUAAUGCUUAGGAAUCUGCCUAUUAGUGGGGGACAACAUCUCGAAAGGGAUGCUAAUACCUCAUACGUCCUACGGGAGAAAGCAGGGGAUCUUCGGACCUUGCGCUAAUAGAUGAGCCUAAGUCGGAUUAGCUAGUUGGUGGGGUAAAGGCCUACCAAGGCGACGAUCUGUAGCGGGUCUGAGAGGAUGAUCCGCCACACUGGGACUGAGACGCGGCCCAGACUCCUACGGGAGGCAGCAGUGGGGAAUAUUGGACAAUGGGGGGAACCCUGAUCCAGCCAUGCCGCGUGUGUGAAGAAGGCCUUAUGGUUGUAAAGCACUUUAAGCGAGGAGGAGGCUACUUUAGUUAAUACCUAGAGAUAGUGGACGUUAUUCGCAGAAUAAGCACCGGCUAACUCUGUGCCAGCAGCCGCGGUAA
Molecule: ribosomal RNA, 501 nt
Filed under: uncultured bacterium
Lineage: Bacteria
Description: partial 16S ribosomal RNA
Rfam family: Bacterial small subunit ribosomal RNA
Source: RNAcentral